AGGGGGUCUGAGGCAGCCGCGUUUUCCUUUGGGGAAGCGAGGAAAGUCCGGGCUCCACGAAGCAAGGGUGGCGGGUAACGCCCGCCGGGAGUGUUUGUUCGCGAGCGCGACUAGGGAAAGUGCCACAGAGAGUAUACCGCCGAUGGUCCGAGCAAGGAUACAGGCAAGGGUGAAAGGGUGCGGUAAAAGCGCACCGGGGCGUUUGGCAACAGCGUCCGCAUGGUAAACCCCACCCGGAGCAAGGCCAAAUAGGGGUCUCGCGCCGACAUGUCGGCAGGCGCGCUUCGCGCUGAGGAGAUCCGGGUUGGCUGCUAGAGCGGCUUGGCAACAGGUCGCCCAGAUGAAUGGCUGCCGCCGCAGCGCUGGUCUUUUGGGAUACCGGUUGCGGAGACAGAACCCGGCUUAUGAUGGCCCCCUGAUA
This 421-nucleotide RNase P RNA is filed under the name Erythrobacter sp. YT30. Its description in RNAcentral is "Bacterial RNase P class A". It matches the Rfam family "Bacterial RNase P class A". Rfam says of the family: Ribonuclease P (RNase P) is a ubiquitous endoribonuclease, found in archaea, bacteria and eukarya as well as chloroplasts and mitochondria. Lineage: Bacteria; Pseudomonadati; Pseudomonadota; Alphaproteobacteria; Sphingomonadales; Erythrobacteraceae. The record is from Rfam by way of RNAcentral.